This 722-nucleotide ribosomal RNA is filed under the name uncultured bacterium. RNAcentral's name for it is "bacterial SSU rRNA". It matches the Rfam family "Bacterial small subunit ribosomal RNA", at positions 102 to 807 of the family's 1533-position model. The record is from RNAcentral.
AUGGGUGAGUAACGCGUGGACAACCUACCUUGUAAAGGGGAAUAACCUCGAGAAAUCGAAGCUAAUACCCCAUAAUAACCUUGAUUCGCAUGAAGCAAGGAGGAAAGGCGGCCUUAGAGCUGUCGAUAGAAGAUGGGUCCGCGUCUGAUUAGCUAGUUGGUGAGGUAAAGGCUCACCAAGGCGACGAUCAGUAGCCGGCCUGAGAGGGUGAACGGCCACAUUGGGACUGAGACACGGCCCAAACUCCUACGGGAGGCAGCAGUGGGGAAUCUUCCGCAAUGGGCGAAAGCCUGACGGAGCAAUGCCGCGUGAGUGAAGAAGGCCUUCGGGUUGUAAAACUCUGUCCUAGACGAAGAGAGAGUAUUGUAGUAACUGACAAUACUAGGACGGUAGACUAGGAGGAAGCCCCGGCUAACUAUGUGCCAGCAGCCGCGGUAAAACAUAGGGGGCAAGCGUUGUCCGGAAUCACUGGGCGUAAAGGGCGCGCAGGCGGUAAAUUAAGUCAGGUGUGAAAGUUCGGGGCUCAACCCCGUGAUUGCACCUGAUACUGAUAAACUAGAGUGUUGGAGAGGUAAGUGGAAUUCCUAGUGUAGCGGUGGAAUGCGUAGAUAUUAGGAGGAACACCAGUGGCGAAGGCGACUUACUGGCCAAUAACUGACGCUGAGGCGCGAAAGCGUGGGGAGCAAACAGGAUUAGAUACCCUGGUAGUCCACGCCGUAAAC